RNAcentral lists this ribosomal RNA (429 nucleotides) under uncultured bacterium. Its description in RNAcentral is "bacterial SSU rRNA". It matches the Rfam family "Bacterial small subunit ribosomal RNA", at positions 355 to 775 of the family's 1533-position model. The record is from RNAcentral.
UGGGGAAUAUUGGGCAAUGGGCGCAAGCCUGACCCAGCCAUGCCGCGUGAGUGAUGAAGGCCUUCGGGUCGUAAAGCUCUGUGGGGAGGGACGAACAGCCCGGGGGUUAAUACCCCUCGGGUCUGACGGUACCUCCUUAGCAAGCACCGGCUAACUCCGUGCCAGCAGCCGCGGUAAUACGGGGGGUGCAAACGUUGCUCGGAAUUAUUGGGCGUAAAGCGCACGUAGGCGGUCCUGUAAGUCGGGUGUGAAAGCCCCAGGCUUAACCUGGGAAGUGCACUCGAAACUGUAGGGCUUGAGUACGGAAGAGGGUCUCGGAAUUCCCGGUGUAGAGGUGAAAUUCGUAGAUAUCGGGAGGAACACCAGUGGCGAAGGCGGAGACCUGGGCCGAUACUGACGCUGAGGUGCGAAAGCGUGGGGAGCAAACAG